GCUGGUGUGGCUCAGUGGAUAGAGCGUCGGUCUGCAGACCGAAGGGUCCCAGGUUCGAUUCCUGGUCAAGGGCA
Molecule: non-coding RNA, 74 nt
Organism: Myotis davidii
Lineage: Eukaryota; Metazoa; Chordata; Mammalia; Chiroptera; Vespertilionidae
Source: Rfam